GGGCAAAUACCCAAGUCUGGCUGAAGGGACUGGUCUUGAAAACCAGCAGGGGCUUUACCGCCCGCGGGGGUUCGAAUCCCUCUUUGCCCGCCA
This 93-nucleotide transfer RNA is filed under the name Mycoplasma sp. RNAcentral describes it as "tRNA-Ser". It matches the Rfam family "tRNA". From Rfam's summary of the family: Transfer RNA (tRNA) molecules are approximately 80 nucleotides in length. Their secondary structure includes four short double-helical elements and three loops (D, anti-codon, and T loops). Further hydrogen bonds mediate the characteristic L-shaped molecular structure. tRNAs have two regions of fundamental functional importance: the anti-codon, which is responsible for specific mRNA codon recognition, and the 3' end, to which the tRNAs corresponding amino acid is attached (by aminoacyl-tRNA synthetases). tRNAs cope with the degeneracy of the genetic code in two manners: having more than one tRNA (with a specific anti-codon) for a particular amino acid; and 'wobble' base-pairing, i.e. permitting non-standard base-pairing at the 3rd anti-codon position. The record is from RNAcentral. Lineage: Bacteria; Bacillati; Mycoplasmatota; Mollicutes; Mycoplasmatales; Mycoplasmataceae. RNAcentral also lists the same sequence under 1 other name.